This 226-nucleotide long non-coding RNA is filed under the name Linum usitatissimum (flax). RNAcentral's name for it is "long non-coding RNA (LUSI_LNC003764)". The record is from RNAcentral. Lineage: Eukaryota; Viridiplantae; Streptophyta; Magnoliopsida; Malpighiales; Linaceae.
GUCUAACUGCUUGGGAUGACUAUUGAUCGUAAUUUAUGGACUCCUUAUAUUUCUGUUCAUGUGCUCCCAAUUGGCAUCUAUUUACCAGAAUCUUGAGAAUACAGAAAAGAAGUCCAAGCGGUGAUCAGUUCCUACACUACUUCAACCUUUUACGUUUCUCAUUUUUUCGUACGUACCCAUAAUGCUUCAUCCAGAUCUUUGAUUGUAUCCCGCUCUUUCCUUUUAG